GUAGAGGGGUAACAAUAAGAUUAACCGUUAGCCGUAAAAUGGCAUAAAAAGAGGAAAAAAUAGCCGUGAGGCGUAAAAUUGACAACUCUUGGCCGCUAGUCGUUAAAAAUGUAAACUGUAAAAAUUAAUAUUUUAAAAUAACAGAAAGGAAUUAACUGUUAGCCGUAAAAUGGCAAAAAUUUUAACCGUUGGUCGUAAAAACCAUCACCUCAGGAGGAGGUUCUGAUAUACAUUUCAUCUCGGAAUAGUUGGAGGAACACUCGAACCAAAACUCAUAACGAAGAAAAUAAAGCGCUCAACAAAUCUUAUACUUUCUGUUUGUUUCUGCCAAUUGUUUGUUUGUUUUUCGUUUACAUUUUUGCAUGAAAUUAAAGCAAAAACAUUGGUCUUUACUAGUUCUUGAUUCCACGAUGAAGAACGUCAGCCAAUUUCCAAUUUCAUCCAGAUUUUUAUUUCAUCCUUCAAUCCUGACCCUCAGAACUUCACUAUCUAAUUGUGUUAAUUUUGACCCGAAAAAUAAACAAAUAGAUAGCAGUACAUAAAGAUAAAUCAAUGUCAAAUUCUGGCCUUAAGAAGCUUCAUGACCUCAACCUAAAGCUACCAGCUUGUGGUUCAAUACCUUGAGUUAUCCGCAUUCAGGACAGAUUAUCUGAUAAUUAGGCUAACUUGCGUUGGUGUGGGACGGACGGCUUAAUAAAAGUAGGAUUACGUGUGAGAAGCCAGCCCCCACUCAAAAUUUUCAUUCAGUUAUGUAACAAGUUUAGCUCACAACCUAAGAUAGGUCUAGAAUUUGUAGCCGUUACGUCACGGUCUAGUUUUAUCUUUUGGCUUUCUUCGUUUUUGUUUUUUUCAAUUUUGCAAUCAACGCCAUUUUCAUAUUUUCCGUCAAUAUUGGCUAUCUCCUUUCCAAUUUCGCUCAUCCUUUCCUCCUAAAUGUUCAUCGACUUUGGCAAACCUACAAUAGUUGAUUAUUUAAGUUUCCAUUUCAACUAAAAACAAGUUUCAGCAACCUAAAAAGCCCUGAAAUUAAAACAUCUUGACGCACGAAAUCUUUUAACGUGAACUUCAUGCGAAGUGCCAUGAAAGGUACUUUGAAUGUAAUGUUUGGUUGCUUUCCUGAUAUCAUCUGUCAUUUUUCCGCUUUGAAGAUUUACAUCACCGCUCAGUCGUAAAAGAAAAAUCUAAAACGAACUGGAGGAUGGCAAAGAAACAAGUCCCAGGAAAGGAACAACAACACAGAAAGAUCUUGCUUUGUUCAUGGGAUGGAGGGACGACGUUGUCCUGAUUCUGUACGUGCCGAAGCAAAGGAUGUAUAUGUGCUAGCAACUUCCGUCUAAUAGAAGUGGCAACAAGAUCAUCUGAUAUUACAUAACCUGUACACGAAAACCGCCAAAUGAGGAAAUUUUUGCUGUCAACAGACGGAGUCAGGUGAUAAAUUAAUGAAGGGAGUUGUGCUGGGUUUUGGCUGUCAGCCAUCAAGUUAUGUUAGGUUCACAUUGACUGAGAAUUUAAAAUCAGUCGACACGAUGCUAUUUUAGGACGCUCUUCUCGUGUGUGGUCUGUAAUCGAGAUUUGGCUAUUUUUCCAAAGUGGAGAUUUGGAGAUGUUGUUCAGAAUAUAACAAUAUCUCUAGUGAAUGACUAAGCAGCUGUGAUUAAACGAGAUGUCCAAGUUGUGGUCAACAUGUUUCUACCCAUUUGUUACCUGCAUGCAGGGUGUAUAAACCGGUAAACUGCAAGCUUGAAACAUAUCGAACCUUCGGCUUCUCAGUCUAUCGUAAUGGCUCUGCGUGUGACUUACCGUGAGUAAAAUUUGAAGUUAAGAAGUUUGAGAUUUUAUGUCAAGUGAUUUUGCUUAUAAAAGGAUACAAUGUCAAAAUUUGAAGAUUUGGCGGUUCAUGUUUACUUGACAUUAUGAUAUCGUUGUGAGAAACUCAAAAUCUUUAAUAUUCAAGAUUCGGCCGCAUACCGUAGAAAUUAUAGAAAAUUUGAUAUCAUGCAUGUAAUUCAGGGCUUGGAAUGCUAACAGGCGAUUCAGCUGACUGAUCUUAGCUACGCGAAGUCAAAGUGUAGUUUGGUUUCGCACCCUUCGUUUUCCUGUAAGUAUAGGCGCAAGAAAGCCGCAAUAAGUAAGUAGUCAUAGCAGACUCUAAUGUCUUUUACUAAGCAGUGAAACAAAGCGUGCGUUUUCGUAUUUCGGAAGGGCCUGAGGAAAUAAGAGAUUUUUUUUAUCUAAGUGUUGAACAUAACAGACUUUACUAUGGACCACCUAGGACUGUUAAAGUGAAGAAUGUAAACGCUGCCUAAUUAUACUGGACAAAUCAGGAUUUUGAUGAUUUCGUAUGACAGUCAAAUCUAUAACCGUCGAGACUCAGAGAAAUCCUCUUAGUCUAAGGAUUUAUUCAAAUACGAGAACCAGCUUUACGAUGUCUAUCUGCCUCAAAAAGUCCGAUAACAUCAAAAAUAAAGAUGAUUGAAGUUAAAAGUUA
Molecule: long non-coding RNA, 2488 nt
Filed under: Pocillopora damicornis (cauliflower coral)
Lineage: Eukaryota; Metazoa; Cnidaria; Anthozoa; Scleractinia; Pocilloporidae
Description: uncharacterized LOC113668885
Source: RNAcentral